RNAcentral lists this ribosomal RNA (460 nucleotides) under uncultured bacterium. RNAcentral's name for it is "partial 16S ribosomal RNA". It matches the Rfam family "Bacterial small subunit ribosomal RNA", at positions 338 to 795 of the family's 1533-position model. The record is from RNAcentral.
CCUACGGGAGGCAGCAGUGAGGAAUAUUGGUCAAUGGACGAGAGUCUGAACCAGCCAAGUAGCGUGAAGGAUGACUGCCCUAUGGGUUGUAAACUUCUUUUAUAAAGGAAUAAAACGUUGCACGUGUGCCUUUUUGUAUGUACUUUAUGAAUAAGGAUCGGCUAACUCCGUGCCAGCAGCCGCGGUAAUACGGAGGAUCCGCGCGUUAUCCGGAUUUAUUGGGGUUAAAGGGAGCGUAGAUGGGUUGUUAAGUCAUGUGUGAAAGUUUGCGGCGCAACCGUAAAAUUUCAAGGUAUAAUGGCAGUAUUGAGUACAGUUGAGGUAGGCGGAAUUCGUGGUGUAGCGGUGAAAUGCUUAGAUAUCACGAAGAACCCCGAUUGCGAAGGCAGCUUACUAAACUGUUACUGACACUGAUGCUCGAAAGUGUGGGUAUCAAACAGGAUUAGAUACACGAGUAGUC